RNAcentral lists this transfer RNA (73 nucleotides) under Acropora cervicornis. Its description in RNAcentral is "tRNA-Val". It matches the Rfam family "tRNA". From Rfam's summary of the family: Transfer RNA (tRNA) molecules are approximately 80 nucleotides in length. Their secondary structure includes four short double-helical elements and three loops (D, anti-codon, and T loops). Further hydrogen bonds mediate the characteristic L-shaped molecular structure. tRNAs have two regions of fundamental functional importance: the anti-codon, which is responsible for specific mRNA codon recognition, and the 3' end, to which the tRNAs corresponding amino acid is attached (by aminoacyl-tRNA synthetases). tRNAs cope with the degeneracy of the genetic code in two manners: having more than one tRNA (with a specific anti-codon) for a particular amino acid; and 'wobble' base-pairing, i.e. permitting non-standard base-pairing at the 3rd anti-codon position. The record is from RNAcentral. Lineage: Eukaryota; Metazoa; Cnidaria; Anthozoa; Scleractinia; Acroporidae.
GUUUCCGUGGUGUAGUGGUUAUCACGUCCGUCUCACACGCGGAAGGACGCAGGUUCGAGUCCUGCCGGAAACA